GUCUACGGCCAUACCUCGUCCGAUCACUGAAGUUAAGCAACGUCGGGCUCGGUUAGUACUUGGAUGGGUGACCGUCUUGGGAACACCGAGUGCUGUAGACU
This 101-nucleotide ribosomal RNA is filed under the name Lottia gigantea (owl limpet). The record is from RNAcentral. Lineage: Eukaryota; Metazoa; Mollusca; Gastropoda; Lottiidae.